RNAcentral lists this ribosomal RNA (449 nucleotides) under uncultured bacterium. Its description in RNAcentral is "bacterial SSU rRNA". It matches the Rfam family "Bacterial small subunit ribosomal RNA", at positions 354 to 796 of the family's 1533-position model. The record is from RNAcentral.
GUCGAGAAUUUUUCUCAAUGGGGGAAACCCUGAAGGAGCGACGCCGCGUGGGGGAUGAAGGUCUUCGGAUUGUAAACCCCUGUCAUCCGGGAGCAAGGCGCUCCACCUAACACGUGGAUCGUUGAUAGUACCGGAAGAGGAAGCCGUGGCUAACUCUGUGCCAGCAGCCGCGGUAAUACAGAGACGGCAAGCGUUGCUCGGAUUCAUUGGGCGUAAAGGGUCCGCAGGCGGUCAGGCAAGUCGGAUGUGAAAUCCCAGAGCUUAACUCUGGUAGGUCAUUCGAAACUGCCUGACUCGAGGAGUGGAGAGGAGACUGGAAUUGUCGGUGUAGCGGUGAAAUGCGUAGAGAUCGACAAGAACACCGGUGGCGAAGGCGGGUCUCUAGACACCUCCUGACGCUCAUGGACGAAAGCCAGGGGAGCAAACGGGAUUAGAAACCCCGGUAGUCC